Molecule: ribosomal RNA, 253 nt
Filed under: uncultured bacterium
Lineage: Bacteria
Description: partial 16S ribosomal RNA
Rfam family: Bacterial small subunit ribosomal RNA
Source: RNAcentral
UACGUAGGGGCCUAGCGUUGUCCGGAUUUAUUGGGCGUAAAGAGCUCGUAGGCGGUUCGGCAAGUCGGAUGUGAAAUCUCCACGCUCAACGUGGAGGGGCCAUUCGAAACUGCGCGGCUCGAGUGCCGGAGGGGAGAGUGGAAUUCCUGGUGUAGCGGUGAAAUGCGUAGAUAUCAGGAGGAAUACCGGUGGCGAAGGCAGGUCUCUGGGCUGACACUGACGCUCAUGCACGAAAGCGUGGGGAGCAAACAGG